This 930-nucleotide ribosomal RNA is filed under the name uncultured bacterium. Its description in RNAcentral is "bacterial SSU rRNA". It matches the Rfam family "Bacterial small subunit ribosomal RNA", at positions 15 to 912 of the family's 1533-position model. The record is from RNAcentral.
GAUCCUGGCUCAGGACGAACGCUGGCGGCGUGCCUAAUACAUGCAAGUCGAACGAAGCUUUCUUUCACCGAAUGCUUGCAUUCACCGAAAGAAGCUUAGUGGCGAACGGGUGAGUAACACGUAGGCAACCUGCCCAAAAGAGGGGGAUAACACUUGGAAACAGGUGCUAAUACCGCAUAACCAUGAACACCGCAUGAUGUUCAUGUAAAAGACGGCUUUUGCUGUCACUUUUGGAUGGGCCUGCGGCGUAUUAACUUGUUGGUGGGGUAACGGCCUACCAAGGUGAUGAUACGUAGCCGAACUGAGAGGUUGAUCGGCCACAUUGGGACUGAGACACGGCCCAAACUCCUACGGGAGGCAGCAGUAGGGAAUCUUCCACAAUGGACGAAAGUCUGAUGGAGCAACGCCGCGUGAAUGAAGAAGGCCUUCGGGUCGUAAAAUUCUGUUGUCAGAGAAGAACGUGCGUGAGAGUAACUGUUCACGUAUUGACGGUAUCUGACCAGAAAGCCACGGCUAACUACGUGCCAGCAGCCGCGGUAAUACGUAGGUGGCAAGCGUUGUCCGGAUUUAUUGGGCGUAAAGGGAACGCAGGCGGUCUUUUAAGUCUGAUGUGAAAGCCUUCGGCUUAACCGAAGUAGUGCAUUGGAAACUGGAAGACUUGAGUGCAGAAGAGGAGAGUGGAACUCCAUGUGUAGCGGUGAAAUGCGUAGAUAUAUGGAAGAACACCAGUGGCGAAAGCGGCUCUCUGGUCUGUAACUGACGCUGAGGUUCGAAAGCGUGGGUAGCAAACAGGAUUAGAUACCCUGGUAGUCCACGCCGUAAACGAUGAGUGCUAAGUGUUGGAGGGUUUCCGCCCUUCAGUGCUGCAGCUAACGCAUUAAGCACUCCGCCUGGGGAGUACGGUCGCAAGACUGAAACUCAAAGGAAUUG